This 23-nucleotide microRNA is filed under the name Canis lupus familiaris (dog). RNAcentral's name for it is "cfa-miR-8842". Lineage: Eukaryota; Metazoa; Chordata; Mammalia; Carnivora; Canidae. The record is from miRBase by way of RNAcentral.
UGCUGUGGCUCACGCUUUGGUAC